Molecule: long non-coding RNA, 217 nt
Filed under: Zonotrichia albicollis (white-throated sparrow)
Lineage: Eukaryota; Metazoa; Chordata; Aves; Passeriformes; Passerellidae
Description: lncRNA (ENSZALG00000009798.1)
Source: RNAcentral
CAAAUUAAUUUAUUCCAGCACUUUGGGGCAUGGAAAGCUUGGAAUUCCUUGGGAUUCCUUGGGAUGGAUUCCUUGGGAUUCCUUGGGAUUCCUUGAGAUUCCUUGGGAUGGAUUCCUCAGGAUGGGUUCCUUGGGAUUCCUUGGGAUGGAUUCCUCAGGAUUCUUCAGGAUGGAUUCCUCGGGAUUUGUCAGGAUUCCUUGGGAUGGAUCCCUCAGG